Syngnathoides biaculeatus (alligator pipefish) is the source of this 612-nucleotide long non-coding RNA. RefSeq lists it as uncharacterized. NCBI's taxonomy places the organism in Eukaryota, Metazoa, Chordata, Actinopteri, Syngnathiformes, Syngnathidae. The record is from RefSeq and is a predicted model, not a curated record. The transcript has 7 exons.
GCGCUACUGCGCAAGAGCGGAAGUUCCUCCUUUCGGACCGGACGACGAGACAGUGAGACGCCUGUACCACGUUGCUCUUUCCUCCAUCGCACCAUCAAGAAGGUUGGCCGAUUCCAUAACCAGGCGGAGACAUAUUUAUGUGCAACGCGGUGCGUUGACGUACAAAUUUGGGGGAACUGAUAAAGAGUGGACUCUCUUCCACGGAGCCCGCACACAAUCUUAAAGAAAAAAAACGGGAUCUUCAACGCUGAUGAGAAGAUAAGCAAGACAGAGGUGAAAUAUGGUCUUCAGCCGUCUCUGAUAAGCAGCAAGACGGGUGAACUAUGGUCUUGGACAGUCUCUGAUAAGCAGCAAGACAGGGGUGAUCUAUGGUCUUCGGCAGUCUCUGAUGAAUGGCUGCAUAGACGGGUGGUAAAUUGGACGACGCGCUCAGUCUUGUCGACGGUAAGAAAAAUUAUCAAAUUUGCUGCGCAUCCUUCAGUGAUGGCUUCCGUUUUAAUAAGAUGUGCUGCCCUAAUUAAUCGACAAAUAAGCAUCCAAGGUUCGUCUCUCUAAUGCUGUCCUGAACUGUAAUUUGGAGAAAUAAAAAAACUUAUCAAACAUCAGUUGUGG